UCAUUUCAGAUUUUCUUCCCUUUUAUUGUGUAUGGCAUAGUCAAGAUGAAAAACACUCGGUAAGGGAGUCAAUUUUCUUUAAAAUGCAAAGUAUAUAGGUAAGAUCCUUGUUGGAAAGAUUUCUCCUGUGCCACUGUCUGUAGCCUGCCAGCUGACCAAGUAGAGUCACAACUGUUUAUUUUCUUAUGUUUUUAGAAAGGAGAUCAAGCACUAGUGAUUUUUAGAAAUGGCGUAGAGCUGAAGGACUACUGUUUAUCCACUGUUGCUGUAUCAUCUUUGCUUUCCAAUUUCUCUAGGUAAUGCCUCACAAUCUGGAAAUAAAUAAACAAAUCUUCUCAUCGCGCUCACCAUGUGGUACUGUAAUAGUAGCUUCUUUCUCAAAAAAGGACAGACCUAUUGGCCCUCACCUCAUUCAGCUCUCUCACUAUUUUAUCUUAGGUUGUUCACAAUUGACAACUAGCUACUUGUAAUGCAGAUUAUGCAGGCUAUGCAGCGUCUGAGGAGGAUAACAGAAAUAAAAAAUAAAGGUGGAAGAGCCCUCACUUUGGUUCAAAUGAAAACUAGAAUUAAUGUGUCCACUUUAAAUGUCCUUCAGUAAUAUUCUCAUCGCUGAAUAAAGAUAAUUUCAACUAGUAGCCAAACGUAGAGGCUGUAUAGAACUACGGAGUCACGAUCACCUGAAGCAAGCACUGAGACAGCCCUGGGAGCACAGGUGAAGGCGAUCCAGCUGUGUGACCAGAAAGGAUGGAGCCUGGCUGCACCUCUCUUAGACCCCCCAUUUAAGGACUGACUGCCACAGGGGAAGGGUCUCUCUCUGGAGAUCCCUCCUCUUGGAGUUUUUCUUGCAAGCCCAGGACACGGAGAGUUUGCACAUGGAAGCGUGACUGUGCUUGCAGUUCUGCAGUACAAAAGGCAACCAGGGGAUAAUCAAGGAAAAAACUGCCUAGGAUGUCAGGGCUGGCCACUGAUGGGGAAAAAAAAAUGAAUCGGGUGAGAACUGAGUGAAGUGUAAGAAACCAAGCACAGAACUCCACGGCCUUGAAGUCUGAAAAUGAAACACUAAAAACAGCAAGCGUGAAACAACUACAAAAACUGUGUUGUUCUUACUGUACAGAUUUCCC
Lagopus muta (rock ptarmigan) is the source of this 1121-nucleotide long non-coding RNA. RefSeq lists it as uncharacterized. NCBI's taxonomy places the organism in Eukaryota, Metazoa, Chordata, Aves, Galliformes, Phasianidae. The transcript has 3 exons. The record is from RefSeq and is a predicted model, not a curated record.